AUUGAACGCUGGCGGCAGGCCUAACACAUGCAAGUCGAGCGGUAGAGAGAAGCUUGCUUCUCUUGAGAGCGGCGGACGGGUGAGUAAUGCCUAGGAAUCUGCCUGGUAGUGGGGGAUAACGCUCGGAAACGGACGCUAAUACCGCAUACGUCCUACGGGAGAAAGCAGGGGACCUUCGGGCCUUGCGCUAUCAGAUGAGCCUAGGUCGGAUUAGCUAGUUGGUGAGGUAAUGGCUCACCAAGGCGACGAUCCGUAACUGGUCUGAGAGGAUGAUCAGUCACACUGGAACUGAGACACGGUCCAGACUCCUACGGGAGGCAGCAGUGGGGAAUAUUGGACAAUGGGCGAAAGCCUGAUCCAGCCAUGCCGCGUGUGUGAAGAAGGUCUUCGGAUUGUAAAGCACUUUAAGUUGGGAGGAAGGGCAGUAACCUAAUACGUUGCUGUCUGACGUACCGACAG
RNAcentral lists this ribosomal RNA (459 nucleotides) under Pseudomonas sp. R-42008. RNAcentral's name for it is "bacterial SSU rRNA". It matches the Rfam family "Bacterial small subunit ribosomal RNA", at positions 30 to 484 of the family's 1533-position model. Lineage: Bacteria; Pseudomonadati; Pseudomonadota; Gammaproteobacteria; Pseudomonadales; Pseudomonadaceae. The record is from RNAcentral.